Molecule: ribosomal RNA, 494 nt
Filed under: uncultured Bacteroidota bacterium
Lineage: Bacteria; Pseudomonadati; Bacteroidota
Description: bacterial SSU rRNA
Rfam family: Bacterial small subunit ribosomal RNA
Source: RNAcentral
CGUUAACUACACUAGCAAGUCGAGGGGCGGAUCGGGACGGGAAGGACGUUGCUUUCCUUCGUCCGGCCGGACCGGCGCACGGGUCGAGUAACACGUAUGCAACCUGCCUCCUUCAGGGGGACGAACCUUCCGAAACGGGAAGGGCGUAAUACCCGCCGUAUAUCGGUUUCGGGUCGAUCCGAGAUCGAGGAAAGAUUCAUCGGAAGAGGAUGGGCAUGCGGCGCAUUAGCUUGACGGCGGGGUAACGGCCCACCGUGGCGACGAUGCGUAGGGGUUCUGAGAGGAAGGUCCCCCACACUGGUACUGAGACACGGACCAGACUCCUACGGGAGGCAGCAGUGAGGAAUAUUGGUCAAUGGGAGAGAUCCUGAACCAGCCAAGCCGCGUGAGGGAAGACGGCCCUAUGGGUUGUAAACCUCUUUUGUCGGAGAACAAAACCUGGGACGUGUCCCGGACUGCGUGUAUCCGAAGAAAGGGCAUCGGCUAACUCCGUG